AAUUCUCUUUCAUUUUGUGUAAUUUGCUGUUAAACCCAUGUACUGAGUUCUUAAUUCCAAUUAUUGUCUUAUUUUUGUUUUUGUUUUUUUUUUUUUUUUU
RNAcentral lists this long non-coding RNA (100 nucleotides) under Mustela putorius furo (domestic ferret). RNAcentral's name for it is "lncRNA (ENSMPUG00000027168.1)". Lineage: Eukaryota; Metazoa; Chordata; Mammalia; Carnivora; Mustelidae. The record is from RNAcentral.